Molecule: ribosomal RNA, 1803 nt
Filed under: Escherichia coli
Lineage: Bacteria; Pseudomonadati; Pseudomonadota; Gammaproteobacteria; Enterobacterales; Enterobacteriaceae
Description: partial 23S ribosomal RNA
Rfam family: Bacterial large subunit ribosomal RNA
Source: RNAcentral
GAAAGGCGCGCGAUACAGGGUGACAGCCCCGUACACAAAAAUGCACAUAUUGUGAGCUCGAUGAGUAGGGCGGGACACGUGGUAUCCUGUCUGAAUAUGGGGGGACCAUCCUCCAAGGCUAAAUACUCCUGACUGACCGAUAGUGAACCAGUACCGUGAGGGAAAGGCGAAAAGAACCCCGGCGAGGGGAGUGAAAAAGAACCUGAAACCGUGUACGUACAAGCAGUGGGAGCACGCUUAGGCGUGUGACUGCGUACCUUUUGUAUAAUGGGUCAGCGACUUAUAUUCUGUAGCAAGGUUAACCGAAUAGGGGAGCCGAAGGGAAACCGAGUCUUAACUGGGCGUUAAGUUGCAGGGUAUAGACCCGAAACCCGGUGAUCUAGCCAUGGGCAGGUUGAAGGUUGGGUAACACUAACUGGAGGACCGAACCGACUAAUGUUGAAAAAUUAGCGGAUGACUUGUGGCUGGGGGUGAAAGGCCAAUCAAACCGGGAGAUAGCUGGUUCUCCCCGAAAGCUAUUUAGGUAGCGCCUCGUGAAUUCAUCUCCGGGGGUAGAGCACUGUUUCGGCAAGGGGGUCAUCCCGACUUACCAACCCGAUGCAAACUGCGAAUACCGGAGAAUGUUAUCACGGGAGACACACGGCGGGUGCUAACGUCCGUCGUGAAGAGGGAAACAACCCAGACCGCCAGCUAAGGUCCCAAAGUCAUGGUUAAGUGGGAAACGAUGUGGGAAGGCCCAGACAGCCAGGAUGUUGGCUUAGAAGCAGCCAUCAUUUAAAGAAAGCGUAAUAGCUCACUGGUCGAGUCGGCCUGCGCGGAAGAUGUAACGGGGCUAAACCAUGCACCGAAGCUGCGGCAGCGACGCUUAUGCGUUGUUGGGUAGGGGAGCGUUCUGUAAGCCUGUGAAGGUGUGCUGUGAGGCAUGCUGGAGGUAUCAGAAGUGCGAAUGCUGACAUAAGUAACGAUAAAGCGGGUGAAAAGCCCGCUCGCCGGAAGACCAAGGGUUCCUGUCCAACGUUAAUCGGGGCAGGGUGAGUCGACCCCUAAGGCGAGGCCGAAAGGCGUAGUCGAUGGGAAACAGGUUAAUAUUCCUGUACUUGGUGUUACUGCGAAGGGGGGACGGAGAAGGCUAUGUUGGCCGGGCGACGGUUGUCCCGGUUUAAGCGUGUAGGCUGGUUUUCCAGGCAAAUCCGGAAAAUCAAGGCUGAGGCGUGAUGACGAGGCACUACGGUGCUGAAGCAACAAAUGCCCUGCUUCCAGGAAAAGCCUCUAAGCAUCAGGUAACAUCAAAUCGUACCCCAAACCGACACAGGUGGUCAGGUAGAGAAUACCAAGGCGCUUGAGAGAACUCGGGUGAAGGAACUAGGCAAAAUGGUGCCGUAACUUCGGGAGAAGGCACGCUGAUAUGUAGGUGAAGCGACUUGCUCGUGGAGCUGAAAUCAGUCGAAGAUACCAGCUGGCUGCAACUGUUUAUUAAAAACACAGCACUGUGCAAACACGAAAGUGGACGUAUACGGUGUGACGCCUGCCCGGUGCCGGAAGGUUAAUUGAUGGGGUCAGCGCAAGCGAAGCUCUUGAUCGAAGCCCCGGUAAACGGCGGCCGUAACUAUAACGGUCCUAAGGUAGCGAAAUUCCUUGUCGGGUAAGUUCCGACCUGCACGAAUGGCGUAAUGAUGGCCAGGCUGUCUCCACCCGAGACUCAGUGAAAUUGAACUCGCUGUGAAGAUGCAGUGUACCCGCGGCAAGACGGAAAGACCCCGUGAACCUUUACUAUAGCUUGACACUGAACAUUGAGCCUUGAUG